UUUUUUAAAUCUUUUUUUAAUUUUCCGUGUGAGAUUUUAGCGUUUAAUUGCGUUAUAUUUUUAUCUGGAAUAAAUUCUCGGAAAAAACAUAAGUUGACUUUUCAAAUACAAUAUCGUCAGGACAUGCUAUAUGCUGUUACUUGAAGUAUCGUCGAUAUCCAGUACAUAAGUACAACAGGCUCGGGCAAGUCUUCACGUGUGUAUUUAUAAUUUGAUCAUAUUGUAAACAGUAAACAAAAUUGUAAACAAACUAACAAAAAAUAUGUCAGGGACAAAAUUUUUAGGUAAUAUUAUCAGGUCAACGUCACGUAUCGCCAGUCAGGUUAGUUAGACAUUUUUUUAAAAUAAAUUAUAGACAUAACACAUGUAUUAAAAAAUAAUAAAAUGAUUUUAUAAAAAAUUAUUUUUAAUCACUUUAUAUUAAUAAUACAGUCACUUAUGUUUGUCCCACUAGUCCCAUCAAAAUGCCAAGGCACUUCGUUUCCUUUUGAAGACGCCAGUUUUUUAAGGUCCAUUCUUGACUGUACUAUGGGCCUAUUGGGGUGUCAUUCAGUGUCAUUUUCUUGACUGACCUUUAAGAGGGCAAUAUUGCAUAUUUGAUAUUUCUUCAUAUUUUUCAGAUGCAUCCUGGAAUUUGUAGAGGUAUUGGAAAAG
Molecule: non-coding RNA, 654 nt
Organism: Paramuricea clavata
Lineage: Eukaryota; Metazoa; Cnidaria; Anthozoa; Malacalcyonacea; Plexauridae
Source: the annotation of a GenBank genome assembly